CCUACGGGAGACUGCAGUAGGGAAUCUUCCACAAUGGGCGAAAGCCUGAUGGAGCAACGCCGCGUGGGUGAAGAAGGUCUUCGGAUCGUAAAACCCUGUUGUUAGAGAAGCAAGUGCGUGAGAGUAACUGUUCACGUUUCAACGGUAUCUAACCAGAAAGCCACGGCUAACUACGUGCCAGCAGCCGCGGUAAUACGUAGGUGGCAAGCGUUAUCCGGAUUUAUUGGGCGUAAAGGGAACGCAGGCGGUCUUUUAAGUCUGAUGUGAAAGCCUUCGGCUUAACCGGAGUAGGGCAGUGGAAACUGGGAGACUGGAGUGCAGAAGAGGAGAGUGGAACUCAAUGUGUAGCGGUGAAAUGCGUAGAUAUAUGGAAGAACACCAGUGGCGAAAGCGGCUCUCUGGUCUGUAACUGACGCUGAGGUUCGAAAGCGUGGGUAGCAAACAGGAUUAGAUACCCCAGUAGUC
RNAcentral lists this ribosomal RNA (465 nucleotides) under uncultured bacterium. RNAcentral's name for it is "partial 16S ribosomal RNA". It matches the Rfam family "Bacterial small subunit ribosomal RNA", at positions 338 to 795 of the family's 1533-position model. The record is from RNAcentral.